CAGUAGCCGCGGGAAAACGAGGGGUGCAAGCGUUAUUCGGAUUGAUUGGGUGUAAAGGGUGUGCAGACGGCUUAUUAAGUCACUUGUUAAAUUCUUCGGCCUAACUGAAGGUCUGCAAGUGAUACUGAUGAGCUAGAGGGUGGAAGAGAGAAGUGGAAUUCUCGGAGUAGCGGUAAAAUGCGUAGAUCUCGAGAGGAACACCAAUGGCGAAGGCAGCUUCUUGGUCCAUUCCUGACGUUCAUACACGAAAGCGUGGGGAGCAAACAGGAUUAGAUACCCGCGUAGUCCCUGUCUCUUAUAC
This 301-nucleotide ribosomal RNA is filed under the name uncultured bacterium. RNAcentral's name for it is "partial 16S ribosomal RNA". It matches the Rfam family "Bacterial small subunit ribosomal RNA", at positions 509 to 807 of the family's 1533-position model. The record is from RNAcentral.